RNAcentral lists this ribosomal RNA (253 nucleotides) under uncultured bacterium. Its description in RNAcentral is "partial 16S ribosomal RNA". It matches the Rfam family "Bacterial small subunit ribosomal RNA", at positions 524 to 776 of the family's 1533-position model. The record is from RNAcentral.
UACGUGGGGGGCGAGCGUUGUCCGGAUUUAUUGGGCGUAAAGAGCGUGUAGGCGGCCAGGUAGGUCUGCUGUGAAAUCUCGGGGCUCAACCCCGAGCGGUCGUGAGAAACUGGCAGGCUAGAGUGCGGGAGAGGAGAGUGGAAUUCCUGGUGUAGCGGUGAAAUGCGCAGAUAUCAGGAAGAACACCCGUGGCGAAGGCGGCUCUCUAGAACGCAACUGACGCUGAGACGCGAAAGCGUGGGGAGCAAACAGG